RNAcentral lists this ribosomal RNA (497 nucleotides) under uncultured bacterium. RNAcentral's name for it is "partial 16S ribosomal RNA". It matches the Rfam family "Bacterial small subunit ribosomal RNA", at positions 28 to 507 of the family's 1533-position model. The record is from RNAcentral.
GAUGAACGCUGGCGGCGUGCCUAAUACAUGCAAGUCGAGCGAACAGACGAGGAGCUUGCUCCUCUGACGUUAGCGGCGGACGGGUGAGUAACACGUGGAUAACCUACCUAUAAGACUGGGAUAACUUCGGGAAACCGGAGCUAAUACCGGAUAAUAUAUUGAACCGCAUGGUUCAAUAGUGAAAGACGGUUUUGCUGUCACUUAUAGAUGGAUCCGCGCCGCAUUAGCUAGUUGGUAAGGUAACGGCUUACCAAGGCAACGAUGGGUAGCCGACCUGAGAGGGUGAUCGGCCACACUGGAACUGAGACACGGUCCAGACACUUACGGGAGGCAGCAGUAGGGAAUCUUCCGCAAUGGGCGAAAGCCUGACGGAGCAACGCCGCGUGAGUGAUGAAGGUCUUCGGAUCGUAAAGCUCUGUUAUUAGGGAAGAACAAAUGUGUAAGUAACUAUGCACGUCUUGACGGUACCUAAUCAGAAAGCCACGGCUAACUACGUG